UUAAAAAGCUCGUAGUUGGAUUUCUGUCGAAAACGGCCGGUCCGCACUAUGUGCGUGUAUCUGGUUCGGUUUUGGCAUCCUCAUGAAGAACGUAACUGCGCUUGAUUGCGUGGUGA
This 116-nucleotide ribosomal RNA is filed under the name uncultured marine eukaryote. Its description in RNAcentral is "partial 18S ribosomal RNA". The record is from RNAcentral.